This 85-nucleotide transfer RNA is filed under the name Kiritimatiellaceae bacterium. Its description in RNAcentral is "tRNA-Leu". It matches the Rfam family "tRNA". Rfam says of the family: Transfer RNA (tRNA) molecules are approximately 80 nucleotides in length. Their secondary structure includes four short double-helical elements and three loops (D, anti-codon, and T loops). The record is from RNAcentral. Lineage: Bacteria; Pseudomonadati; Kiritimatiellota; Kiritimatiellia; Kiritimatiellales; Kiritimatiellaceae. RNAcentral also lists the same sequence under 1 other name.
GCCCAGGUGGUGAAAUUGGUAAACACAAGGGACUUAAAAUCCCUCGACUUUGGUCUUGCGGGUUCAAGUCCCGCCCUGGGCACCA